Molecule: ribosomal RNA, 371 nt
Filed under: uncultured organism
Description: bacterial SSU rRNA
Rfam family: Bacterial small subunit ribosomal RNA
Source: RNAcentral
CGUAGGUGGCAAGCGUUGUCCGGAAUUAUUGGGCGUAAAGCGCGCGCAGGUGGUUUCUUAAGUCUGAUGUGAAAGCCCACGGCUCAACCGUGGAGGGUCAUUGGAAACUGGGGAACUUGAGUGCAGGAGAGAAGAGUGGAAUUCCACGUGUAGCGGUGAAAUGCGUAGAGAUGUGGAGGAACACCAGUGGCGAAGGCGACUCUUUGGCCUGUAACUGACACUGAGGCGCGAAAGCGUGGGGAGCAAACAGGAUUAGAUACCCUGGUAGUCCACGCCGUAAACGAUGAGUGCUAAGUGUUAGAGGGUUUCCGCCCUUUAGUGCUGCAGCAAACGCAUUAAGCACUCCGCCUGGGGAUACGGCCGCAAGGCUG